Molecule: ribosomal RNA, 423 nt
Filed under: uncultured bacterium
Lineage: Bacteria
Description: bacterial SSU rRNA
Rfam family: Bacterial small subunit ribosomal RNA
Source: RNAcentral
GGAAUAUUGGGCAAUGGGCGCAAGCCUGACCCAGCCAUGCCGCGUGUGUGAAGAAGGCCUUCGGGUUGUAAAGCACUUUCAGUAGCGAAGAAAAGCCGGGGGCUAACAUCUCCCGGUCUUGACGUUAACUACAGAAGAAGUACCGGCUAACUCCGUGCCAGAAGCCGCGGUAAUACGGAGGGUACGAACGUUAAUCGGAUUUACUGGGCGUAAAGGGCGCGUAGGCGGUCCGUUAAGUGGGGUGUGAAAGCCCCGGGCUCAACCCGGGAACUGCACUCCAAACUGAUGGGCUAGAGUAUGGUAGAGGGAGGUAGAAUUUCCUGUGUAGCGGUGAAAUGCGUAGAUAUAGGAAGGAAUACCGAUGGCGAAGGCAGCCUCCUGGACCAAUACUGACGCUGAGGUGCGAAAGCGUGGGGAGCAAAC